GGGGGGAGGCUGAGCUGGAGCCCUGUUACCUCUUCAGAAGCCAGACACCAAAGAGAACAAGAAAUUCCUGGAUUUACAUCUUAAGGCACAAUGGAAAGAAGGUACUAGAAGCCAAGGAGUAUCAACCUAGCAGCAGAUGGAAUUUACAUUUACAAGUAGGUGUUACAGAACUUUUAUAUCUGGUCCUAAAGACAUUCCAGGUUCAAUGAAGGAAAUUAUGGAGAAGGGAUUCCAGCAAAGGAAAUAUUUUCACCAGCACGGAAGUCAAGCAUUGUCGCUUCUUGCAAAAAAAACCUAGUUUUUAGAUGAGGAAAUUCAUAGGAAAGGUUUAAAAGAGGUGCAGGGAACACUUUUGUGCUCGGUAUUUGAACAGUCUCUAUGGAAGAAAUGCGGCACAAAACAUCCAGCUAUUUCCACAGGAAGAAUAAUGAAGACCCAAGAGAUGGUUAGGAGACAGAGGUCUUUGGAGGAGAGGAGAAACGGAUUUGCUCAGUCUUAAGAGAGGAAGGGUAAGGGUGCUAAGGGGAGAUCUUAUUGCUGUCUGCAAAAUAAUGCAAGGCUGUAGGUAACAUAGAUCACACUUGUCUUUGCAUCGCACUGUGAUCUGACAAGAGGCAAUAAAAACAAAGCUUGGAAAACAAAAAAUUCCAGUUAGAGUUCAGGGAAUAAUCUCCCCAAGCCAUUUGUUUAAAAAAACCAACCAAAUAAACAAAAAAACCCCACUGAUGCCCUUACUUUAUAAAGGGUACACAGGAAUUUUAACAUGAUUUUCUCUUUAAAUGUUGAAAUGUCAUACUUAUCAUUAAAAAAACAACAAAAUAUCAAAAUACUUGUAAAGGGACAGAAUGAGUCUGGAAAUACACAGAAUUUCAACCAAGAGCCUGAGA
Non-coding RNA from Cyanistes caeruleus (blue tit), 887 nucleotides. NCBI's taxonomy places the organism in Eukaryota, Metazoa, Chordata, Aves, Passeriformes, Paridae. The record is from RefSeq and is a predicted model, not a curated record.